UAGAAAGUAACCGGUUGGUCUGCAAG
RNAcentral lists this non-coding RNA (26 nucleotides) under Rattus norvegicus (Norway rat). Lineage: Eukaryota; Metazoa; Chordata; Mammalia; Rodentia; Muridae. The record is from RNAcentral.